GGUUAAGCUGCCUAUCAUGAAGCAGAAACCAUCAGAUAGCCGCGACCACGCAAGGUUUUAAACCACGGGUGACCAUCUUUACGAUCCGGCAGUUUACGACGCAGGUUGGAAAUGU
RNAcentral lists this unclassified non-coding RNA (115 nucleotides) under uncultured fungus. RNAcentral describes it as "sequence contains ITS1". The record is from RNAcentral. Lineage: Eukaryota; Fungi.